This 346-nucleotide ribosomal RNA is filed under the name uncultured eukaryote. Its description in RNAcentral is "SSU rRNA". It matches the Rfam family "Eukaryotic small subunit ribosomal RNA", at positions 594 to 945 of the family's 1831-position model. The record is from RNAcentral.
AUAGCGUAUAUUAAAGUUGUUGCAGUUAAAAAGCUCGUAGUUGAACUUCAGACCUGGCCGGGCGGUCCGCCUAACGGUGUGUACUGUCUGGCUGGGCCUUACCUCUUGGUGAGCCGGCAUGCCCUUCACUGGGUGCGUCGGGGAACCAGGACCUUUACCUUGAGAAAAUUAGAGUGUUCAAAGCAGGCUUACGCCGGAAUACAUUAGCAUGGAAUAAUAAAAUAGGACGUGCGGUUCUAUUUUGUUGGUUUCUAGAGUCGCCGUAAUGAUUAAUAGGGAUAGUUGGGGGCAUUUGUAUUGCGUUGCUAGAGGUGAAAUUCUUGGAUUUACGCAAGACAAACUAUUG